RNAcentral lists this unclassified non-coding RNA (228 nucleotides) under Hevea brasiliensis (rubber tree). The record is from RNAcentral. Lineage: Eukaryota; Viridiplantae; Streptophyta; Magnoliopsida; Malpighiales; Euphorbiaceae.
UCGGCUUUGGCUUCCAAGGCUACGGGCUUUCCUAUAGCAAAAAUGGCAGCUAAGUUGUCAAUUGGGUAUUCACUGGGCCAGAUUCCUAAUGAUACUAAAAAGAAGACCCUAGCUAGUUUCUAACCUUCUAUUGGUUAUGUGGUAACCAAGAUCCCCCGAUUUGCAUUUGAAAAAUUCCCGGGCUCUCAGCCAAUUCUGACCACUCAGAUGAAAUCAGUUGGUGAAGCA